Molecule: long non-coding RNA, 452 nt
Organism: Populus euphratica (Euphrates poplar)
Lineage: Eukaryota; Viridiplantae; Streptophyta; Magnoliopsida; Malpighiales; Salicaceae
Exons: 3
Source: RefSeq, a predicted model, not a curated record
CACUAAUUCUAUAUUAUGUGACUUAUUCCGCUAUGAAAAGAAAAGAACGAUGUAAGUGCAUAAAGUAAUUAUCCAAACUUUACCUGAGGUGAUGACAUAGAAUGUAAGGUGGUGGUGUUGAUGAUCGAUGCAAGGAAAACAAAACAGUCAAGCAGCUUAUGAAAAAGUGAGGCAAGUUAGUUUAGGAACAAAAUUUUCUAGAUAUCUUAUUCGAACAGCUCAUGCCUCCAUUGAGAAACCAACAUUAGUAAGCUUGCAAAACAAAGAAAAUAGUCUAAAUCUCAUUGGGAUUCUCGUCUCUGUUGAUGAAUGAUUGGAAAAAGAUUACAUACUGACCUCAUUUCAGCUAUUAAACAAACUGGGAUGCCGCUGAUUUUGCAUGAAAAGGUGAAGGAUGGACUGCUGCCAUAAAACAGGAAGCAAUAACCAAGUCAGUCUCUUAUUCUACAAAG